AACCGCGGCACACAAAACGGUUUGGUUUCGGUUUUGGGUUUUCAAAACCGCACCGAAACCGAAACCGCACUUUUUUUUUUUAUUUAGUUCAUUCAACUAGGUUAUACUUAUACAUUUGGUUUUGCGGUUCUGGCCCCUGGGUUUGCACCGAGUGGGUUUGCACUUUCAGUGACUGCUUCUGCGCCGCCUCCUUGCAUCUCCGCAUCUGUCUUUGCGACCUGGUCACCUGACUGCCUGCUUGCAUCUGCUUCUGCCUGCCUGCCUGCGACACUGGUUAUAUAAUCAGGGAGGAGCCAUAUUUUCUUCAAGCGGAAAUCAAUUUAAUCUACACUGGUUAUAUAAUCAGGUUUCAUAAUUUUCUGAGAAAUGGGAAAAGGGUCGAAGGAAGAUGAGAAAAUCGAAAGAACAAUUCGCAGUCUUUUGAAAAUUCCCGAGAAUAAAAGAUGCAUCAACUGCAAUAGCUUGGGACCACAAUAUGUUUGCACGACCUUCAUGACAUUCGUCUGUACAAAUUGUAGUGGAGUACAUCGGGAGUUCACUCACCGAGUAAAAUCAGUGUCAAUGGCCAAAUUUUACCGCUCAGUCUUGUUGAUUAAUUUUGGUUCUUUUUGUGUUGAGUAUUCAGAGUCCUGCAGCGUCCAUUGGAAUAUAUGUGGAUUCUGGUUCCAUAUAUGAGACACCAGUAUCCAGUGGUGCCUCACACUUGCUACUAAUGCCAUAUAUGAACUUUAGUUUGAACUUUAGCUGUUUUGGUGCAGAUUUUUAUGCAGUUUUGCUGCAUUUUUUUUCCA
Malus domestica (apple) is the source of this 791-nucleotide non-coding RNA. Lineage: Eukaryota; Viridiplantae; Streptophyta; Magnoliopsida; Rosales; Rosaceae. The record is from RefSeq and is a predicted model, not a curated record.